UAACGCUCGGUUGGCAAUUAGGGUCUUUGCAGCCAUUGGUGUUUUGUCAACCAAUGCACCUCCCGCUGAAGCAUCUAGCAUUUAUCUCUCAAUUGGAAGAAGUCCUUCAUAAAAGUAUUGAAGUAGAAGUUCUUCUUUCAUUUGGUGCUGAGGACAUGAGGCGACAAGAGCCUUAAAACACUCAUAGUAUGCUAGAAAUGACUCUUCUUGGCUUUGUUGAAUGCCAUUAAUCUUCUUCCUCAAGAGAAUGACUCUCGAAGUGGGGAAGAACUUCUCUAAAAACGCCCUCUUCAUGCUUUCCCAAGAAGUGACCGUUCCGGGUGCUAAUUCAUAAAGCCAAUCUUUAGCCUUUUCCACAAGAGAGAAUGGAAAUGCCUUCAUCAUCAAAAUGUUC
Molecule: long non-coding RNA, 394 nt
Filed under: Malus domestica (apple)
Lineage: Eukaryota; Viridiplantae; Streptophyta; Magnoliopsida; Rosales; Rosaceae
Description: long non-coding RNA (MDOM_LNC015063)
Source: RNAcentral